CAUCUCAAACAAGAGAAACAAAAAUGUUAGUUCCUUAACUAUAGUCUCUUUCAAACACAAAUCACAUACUUCUUAGCAUCACACAUAAAGAAGACAAAUACUAAACGCAUGUCAAUCCGAUACGGAAAAUCACCUAAUGAGCUUACAGAAAAGAAUCCUAAUCAUAAUGGUCCCCUUCCAUGUAAAAAUUCCAACCAACAAAUAAAGUGAAUUGUAUUCCACAAAACCCGGUAAACGAAACAUCCUGAAUCAGGUCCUAUACUAGGUUAAUCUGUAACUCAUUAGCGACCCAAGUUCACAAUCAAAACAAAACCAUUCCACAACAUAAAGAAUGAAAAUUCUCACAUCACAAAAGAAACGGAACUCCGGAAAUUCAAUUCGGAUUUCUUACCUUAUCUGGAGCAAACCACAGCUCUACAGACCAAAAGUCCAGCGUCAAAAGCACAAAGCUGCAGCUCUUCUUCCAAACUACCCUGCAAGGCAUUCAAUACCGAGUUAUGCAAAAAGGAAUGGAAAACAAGCUUUUUCGGAUGUCUAGAGUAAAAUUCCAAUUGGGCAAGAGUCUACUUCUGUACAACGACAUGCAUUACAGUAAAAAGAAGAAGCAACGGUAUUGGCGAACAAAGGGACAUGGGAAUGCUAUUCAAUGGCUUUUAGGGGAGACAUAAUUACUAGUUUUUAUUAUUUUCGUUUAUUUUUCAUUUUGUUUAACAAGGACUUCAAAGUCCAUUAGAGGUAGGAUUAGUGGUCAUUUAUUUGACCAUUUCUACUUGGUAUUUCCAAUGUUUGCCGUGGGUGUUAAUAAAGGAGACUCAUUCUCCUUUUGAGAAAAAAGCUACCAUAAUAUAUCACACUUUAGAGGGGCUGCGGCAAAGAAGGGAAGAGGAAGAGAAGUUUAUAGUUUUUCUAGGCUACGAUGUAGCCUAAUCAUGAAUACUUAAUUGCCUUGUGGCAUUGUUAUUAUCAAGUUUUUCUUCCUUAUUGAAUAUCUUAUGCUA
Non-coding RNA from Malus domestica (apple), 998 nucleotides. Lineage: Eukaryota; Viridiplantae; Streptophyta; Magnoliopsida; Rosales; Rosaceae. The record is from RefSeq and is a predicted model, not a curated record.